CCCCGUUUGCGAACGGAGAGUAACCUGAAUGCUACUGAUCCGUUUCGGGCCAGUUUUAAGCGGGAUAUGAAGCAGCGCCUUCAUAUCUAACCCGUGGCAACGGAACCAGUGCAUUCUUAAUUAUAAUUGUGCCCUGUUCUUACGAACAGAGGAAAAAUACUAACUAACUAACAUCUCCGGUUUUGAAUCACACCAGCCAAGGGAGAACACGCGGUGCCUUCCCCUCCAGCUACAAACCCUCAUUGGUCUAGCUGUGAGGUGUUUACAAGUGGUGACCUCGACGUGAUCUGGAGUAUCUGGAGUGUUCCCUGAAGUUUCUGCUGGUGUUUUUCAUCCCGGCGUGAUACCCUUCACCGUGGGUAUCUCGCAUUUUCUUCUCUGGUUUCCCGAUCCUUGGUGUGGUGAGUGACACAAUUCUCAUAUAUUAGCCUGUGCUAGGGAGAGUUUUUUAGUCACUGUGCAGGGGAUCGACAUAUCCCAGACAGGCCUGGGACCGUAGAAACCAGGCAUUUUCCAUAUUACUACCCUUUGGGGAAUUCAUGAACAGGGAAAGAGAGAAGCUUAGGCUUGCAUGUUUUUAGGAAAUGUGUUGUGCUAAUACGGCAAAAUGCAUUCAAGAACAAACUAGCCUAUAGCAGUAGAUGGUUGCGUAUGUGUACGAAAAUGUAAGCGUUUGUAGAAAGGAAGGGAGUUUUGAUGCAAGGCUUACUACUGUUUCUGCGCAGAGGCGCAGAAAACCUUGCUCAAACUCAGGAGAAAUGAGGCACUGGUGAAAAGCCAGUGAAUUUUGAAGGUGAACAGUGAGAAAGUUUAUAGCUGCCAGUAAGCGUGUGCAAUCACAGAAUGCACACGCGAAGAAGUUUGAACUUUGCUAGGGGGCUAACCCAGGAAAAGUGGCAAGCUUCUUAUUAUAUUUAAAUUAAAUAAUAUUAAAACACUGCUGAAUGCUGAAUCAGGUGCAUAACCUCGGUUUCGAAGUUCCAGCCCUGAAAGCAGAGUCUGUGCUGAUCCUUAAACCCAGGUAUGGCCCUGCGGCAGUACACACGUCUCAAGACCUCUGACAGUGCAGACUGCAGCUGCACCAAGUUUUGAAACUGUUCGUAUCUGUCCGGAGGAAACCAUACUUUAAGUCUCAGAGAUCGAGGCCGGUACCAGUGUAGUCACUGAACCUCUGAGUACCGUGCCCGAUGUAAUGUCACAGGACCGCUGAGUGCCACGGCAAAUGCAAGUCUCCAUCCCUCUGAAAGUGUAGCCGCAGGCUACAACAAGGGUGGCGACCGUCUGGAAUUUGCCACAUGUGGGACUCAUGUCUACAGACCUCUGAGACUGGUGAAAAGGUAUCAGGACACAGAACUUCUGAAUUUCUGGGGUGCUGGAACCAAGGUCCUUGGCCUGUGUUAUCUGUCUCAGUAACCAGUGGUAUACUAUUAAUUAAAUAAAUAGGUUAGGGUUUAUAACAGUUGAGAUAAGCCAGUGUAGAAGGUAAAGUUCCAACAUGACUUAUCACCAACCAAAAAAUAGACUUUGGCCUAUUAUAAAUAAAAUAACCAUUAGCCUAGAGCUAAAUUAAGUUAUAUAGGCAUAGGUGUACCACCAUUCACCUUUCUUUAGAAAGCUCGCUUUGAAAAAAGUGUAGUGAAUUCUGGUGUACCCUAUUGUUUUCAUCUGAGUUUUUAUUCUGUGUGUCUUAGCAGCACAAGGAUGAAAUCAGAGGAUUUUAACUAAUAAUAUAUUAAUUAUUAACGCAUGCCUGUGCACGCCAUUUAGAAACUGUUAGAAUUCACUAACCGACUUAUUUGGGUGCCAAUUAAAUUAGCUAAGGCAUGUUAGAUACUAGAGAUCUAAUGGUAUUUUUGUGUGAAUUUCACCAUAGCACAACAUAUACAUAUUAGAAUCUUUAGCAAACCGUUGAUAAGCCAUUCAAAUGCCAUAAAUGAAUAUAAUGUCAUCAAACUUUAACUCAACUAAUAAGGGCCAGUAUCAUCUGUGCCUGCAAUGAAAAUUAUUUAAGGAAGAAGUCUUCCAAACUACAUAUCUCAAAUAAAUAAAUAAAUAAAUAAGGAGAAGAAGCAAUUACUCCUAAGUUUACAUAAAGUUUGUCUUUUAGCAUUAAAAUGUUGAAAGAGGGGUCAUCUUUUGGCAAGGACUGGCUUACUGGUCUCUCUUUUAUUCUAGUUUUUCACAGUUUCCUCUCCUUAAAUUCCCUCCUUCCUUUUCAUUUACUGUUCCUCCUCCUCCUUUCUCCCUUCUCCCCAUCUGUCUGUCUUGUUCUGUUUCCCCCCCUUCUCUGUCAGUUGUUGAAUAUUUAAGGAGCAGUAAACCUACACUCCCAAGACAGUGUCUGAUUUUCUUUUUGUUUUUUCAUCUUUUUAUUUUUUGUCAGUUGUGGUUUAACCCCCAAAUUAUGCAGACAGUAACCCUACAUAGAUUUUCUCUUCUUUGCACAAAUACAGGCAAGAAGUUAGCACCUCAAGCAUCGGUGACAGACCAGUUGGGUGGAAAUCUCUGAAGGGGUCAUAAACAUGUCAGCAGCUCAUUUAG
Anguilla rostrata (American eel) is the source of this 2541-nucleotide long non-coding RNA. RefSeq lists it as uncharacterized. The record is from RefSeq and is a predicted model, not a curated record. Lineage: Eukaryota; Metazoa; Chordata; Actinopteri; Anguilliformes; Anguillidae. The transcript is spliced from 2 exons.